AAAAGCUAUAAUUGAAUAUGAUGAUGGAGAUGACAAAUUUUUUUACUUUUUGACGUUAAGUGAUGAAUAAGUCGCACACAGACAAUCGUGAUAGCCCAUGUGUUUCCGAACUAUGGACGGUUAUGGUGGCGAUCUCGAAAACAUGAAACCUGACUGAAUUUUUAUUAAAUGAAAACCGGACCGCCGCGGCCGCUGCCAAAUACCUUACUUUUAAAUAGUUCAAAAUAUAUAAAACAAGCAAUUAAACAAAAAAACACAAAGCCAUGAUCAUCCAUCGCCAUCAUCAACCAAACAGCACACAGCCCAACACAGAAUUAACAUGGCCAUUCAUCAAUUAUCCUUCACAAUGGUCACUGGGCAAGAAGCAUGGGUCAUCACAUAUGUGCUCACACUUCCCAGAAGUAUCCUUCGGACAGUGCCAAGUCCUCUGCUUCCCAUCACCAACGAGUCCAACUUCAGAUCUUCGAUUGCAUCAAGGAGUUUCUCUCUUGCGUCUCCUCCCCAGUACAGUUUUGUAAUAACUUGCACCUCUUUCUGUCUUGAAACCGUAUCCAGCAUAUCAAGAACUUCGAUAUCGAUCUUCACACCGUAACUUUUCAUAAUCUCAGGCUCUCUGAACUGAGCCAGAGGAAUGAGAGGAGAACCAGACUUGGCCCAGAGUUGAUUACGAGACUUGUCAAGAGAGCUGGGAUUGACAUGGAUGAUAUAAAGAGCGUCCCCUUUAUCUGCCAAGUUAUCGAUGGCCCAUUUCAGAGCUUGCUUGCUGCUCUGCGAGAAGUCCAUAGCCACGCCUAUCUUCCUAUCGCCUGGCAUUUUCUCUCUCUGUGUCUUUGCCUUAUUAGCUACUUAACUCUUUAGGGAUUCUAUCAGGGAUGAGGAAAGCAAUGAAUUGUUGCGUGCAAGCGUUAAAAGGAACGAAUUUUCGUUUAUGUUUACAAUUUCAAAGGUUGAAAAAAAAGGAUUCCUGUUUAUGCAAAUCGUAGAAGCAAAAAUCAGAAAAGAAGUGUGAAUGAGUUCUACGGCCCUUGGAUGUUAGGAAGAACUCGCAUCUGAACCGUCCACGUAUGCAUCAAGAUCAGUUGAUGGUAUAAUUGUGUCGCUUACGAUUGCAUGGGAAAUGAUGCACCCUCUUCUCUGGAAUGUCAUGCGACUAAACCAAAAGCAACUCUAUUAAUCUGGCUUUUCAAUAACAAAAGCGUCAUCUGUUGAAAUACUUGUAUUUUUUUAAGCAUUAGAAAUUCAGAGGGGAAAAACAACCCACAUAAAAUGGAUGGAGAAAUUCCAACGUAGCCAAUAAAAAGAAAUUACAGGGAGAAGAAAGGUGGUUCGAAGUUGCUCAGCAGCUUCCUUUGUCUAUAUCUUAAUUCUGUCAAAUUGCAGGCAAGGAGUGGUUAUUAUUUUUAAAAUUGUUUCUCGAUUUGGUGUAUAUAAUUUGCAUAGUGGUUUCUAGAAGAGCCCUGAGGCCCAAAAGAAAUGGAUGUUUUCCCGGGCAGAGCUUCCAGGCUUGAAUUAUAGAAAGGUCAUCUAAAGCUUG
RNAcentral lists this unclassified non-coding RNA (1534 nucleotides) under Hevea brasiliensis (rubber tree). The record is from RNAcentral. Lineage: Eukaryota; Viridiplantae; Streptophyta; Magnoliopsida; Malpighiales; Euphorbiaceae.